UUAAGGGUGGUACCAAAGCAACCUUUACUAAAGGGACCUUUGGCACUGAUCAUAAGGGACCUAUACGCUUUGAGCAUUGCCCUUGAGCAGUCUAAGGGACCUUUGGCACUUAAGGGGCCCUUAAGACUUUUGAGCAUCCAGCCCUAGGGAGAGAGGAGAGGAAGCACUUGCACACACCUGCCUUCCCAAGCCAUACAGAGGCCUGGGGAAAGGAUUUUUACUGGGUCCCUGUAACCUGCUCAUGAGAGAAACAUCCUUUCCAACCUGGUGGAGGUGUCUCAUGGUAGUCACCAACACACAGGAGCAGAAGGGAGUCUCACAAGACACAUGGAUUUUAUUCAAUUCACUGCAUAACACGGUCACAGUACCUGACUAUCUCUUGCACGCCAUAGCAACAUCACAAACUCACUGUCCUGGUACACAGUUUCCCAGCUGGGUGAGAAAGGCACACCCAACAACAAGGGGGCAAACAAAGGGAAGGCAAGAAGGGAAGUGACAUGCAUCUGUUGUUUCUCACUGUCCAACUCUGACUGUUUGCGGUGCAUCAGGACACCACCUUGGGCCAUGCCACCUUCCCACCAAGGGCCAAAUCCACAAAACAGGUUGCUACAUAACAUUCUGCAAUUGGCCAAAUGGCAAGCUUCUGCUCCCACUCCCACUCUGUAAUCUCCGAGAAACGGCAUCCAUGAAGAAUUGCGGCAGUUGGCGGGUGGAGGAUGCUAAUCCGCCUAAGCAUGCUCAUUGGCUGCUGGAACUGUUAUGUCACUGACUUGAUAUCACACACAUGGCAGCCAAUCACAGGGAGGCUUUGUGUUAUCACUGAGGAAGUCAUAUGGCAUUGUUUACAAACCCUGAUAUAGCAUCACGCACUCACAGCCACCACCUACUACAGUCAACUGUCCUCACAAUGCUGGUGGCUAGUGAAUCCCCUAAGAAAACAAGGAGACAAUGAUUCACCAACACUGAGACCUUAACCUUGGUGGAGGAGGUGGAGAGUUGGGGUGCAAGGGACAGUAAAACGCCACAAAAGAAGAAAGCUUGGGAAGAUGUGGUAGGAGUGUCUAGCCCUCUGCUGAACAACAGCAGAUCCUCACCUGCUGGUGUUGCUGGGUCUGCUGGGUGUUGCUAUGGGAGAGUCACCCUCAUUACUGACAGUGGAUGAGGACCUGACUUUCCAAAUCAUCCAUCAUACAGAUGAUGUCCCCCAAUAGCAGAACUUGAGCAGAUGCAACAAUUUAUAGUGAAUCUGAAGGAGAUGGGAGACUUCCUGCAUAGACUAGUGAAGGCACAAUGGGAACUGGUGGCAGGCACAGUGAGAAGUGGUGGCAGGCACAACAGGAGUUGGUGGCAGGUACAUCGAGAGCUGGUGGCAGGCACAACAAGAGCUGAUGAGCAAUUCUGCCCAAAAUGUGUUGAGCUAUCUGCUGCACUGCAGGUUCAGGCUCCACAUGUGGACGCUGAGGUGAAGAGGUGGUAGCUGAAAAUAAAUAACUAUGAGUCCUAAAUUAUGCUGCCUCCGAGGGAGCUGAGGGCUCUACACCAAAGCGUCAGAAGAAAAUCCUGACCUCGGAUAAGGUUAACCUGCUGGACUGUCUUCAGAAGGGCACAAACUUUAUCACAGUUGGAAAGAAGUACAGAUUAAAUAAGAACAUGGUGUGGUACAUUAAGAAAAGGGAAGAAACCAUCAGGGAGUCUUUUAUAGCCUCUGCACCUGUCUAGGACAAGAAUGUGUCAGAGACGAGACAAAGCUAUGGUAAAAAUGGAGAAUGCUCUUUCAUUGUGGUUCCAGAAUCAACAUCGAAAGGGUGUGGGAGACAAGAGAGGGCUUUCAUAACAAUAUCAAUGAGAGAGAGAGAGAGAGAGAGAGAGAGAGAGAGAGAGAGAGAGAGAGAGAGAGAGAGAGAAUUUCAUAUAAAGUCAAUAAGCAAUAUGCAAAUAUAUAAUUAUUGUAUUUGAGAUCAAUCUAGGUUAAGGGACAGUAUAACAAGGAAAAUCAACCCUCGGGUCAUCUUUCAUUUGAUAUACAGUUUAUUUCUUCUCCAUCUAUACACAUACACAUGUACGUACAUGUGGACAUGAUCUCAUUCACCCAGAUGUCCAACCCAAAGACAGUCUCCCACCUCUCAUACAAGUCCACCCAAGUUGAAAAACACUGUAUGAUCUGAUUUGUAUGUAUGAUUUGCCAUCUAAAUCCUGGUGGCAUGGCACAACACUGGUUUUGCAGUUUUUUGUGGUCACAAAUAUGUUGAGCGGCCUAGAAGCAACAACAGAAAACAGGAAAUGAGGAGUGGUACAGUAGCAUUUCUUUAUAUUUUCAAUGUUCAGCUGGUAAUGUCUAUGGGGGACAGGGGCGACAGCGAUCAAUAGCACGUUGGCUUCACAUUUGUGAUGUCAAGCCAACUCCUCCCAUUAUACCUCCAUGAGUCAAAAAUGUUGGAACCAUCUUGCUGUGCCCAAGCAUGUUUUCUGAUGUGCUGUAAGCAAAGUUAUGCCAUAUAUUA
Scylla paramamosain (green mud crab) is the source of this 2501-nucleotide long non-coding RNA. RefSeq lists it as uncharacterized. NCBI's taxonomy places the organism in Eukaryota, Metazoa, Arthropoda, Malacostraca, Decapoda, Portunidae. The transcript has 5 exons. The record is from RefSeq and is a predicted model, not a curated record.